RNAcentral lists this ribosomal RNA (463 nucleotides) under uncultured bacterium. RNAcentral describes it as "bacterial SSU rRNA". It matches the Rfam family "Bacterial small subunit ribosomal RNA", at positions 791 to 1255 of the family's 1533-position model. The record is from RNAcentral.
UAGUCCACGCCGUAAACGAUGGAUACUAGCUGUCCGGGGCCUUGAGUCCUGGGCGGCCAAGCGAAAGUGAUAAGUAUCCCACCUGGGGAGUACGUUCGCAAGAAUGAAACUCAAAGGAAUUGACGGGGGCCCGCACAAGCGGUGGAGCAUGUGGUUUAAUUCGAUGAUACGCGAGGAACCUUACCAGGGCUUAAAUGCAUAUUGACAGGGCCAGAGAUGGCUUUUCCUUCGGGCAAUUUGCAAGGUGCUGCAUGGUUGUCGUCAGCUCGUGCCGUGAGGUGUCAGGUUAAGUCCUAUAACGAGCGCAACCCCUACGUUAGUUGCCAGCACAUUAUGGUGGGAACUCUAACAAGACUGCCGGUNCAAACCGUGAGGAGGUGGGGAUGACGUCAAAUCAUCACGGGCCCUUACGUCCUGGGGCUACACACGUGCUACAAUGGGUAGGUACAGAGAGCAGCCACUG